UCAAUAUCUGUAUUAUUCUCUCUGGAUAGUAUACUCUUGUACUCACUACAAUAAGUUAUGAUUUUUAAUUUUAUCUCAACAUAAAAAAAUUAGUUAGAACACUAAAAAGUAUGCUAAGAUAGUACUUACUCAAUGAAAUCUUCAAUUUUUUUAUAAUUAUUUAGAACAUAAAAGUGUGCCUUGGAUAGCUCAUUCAUAUCUAUAAACUCAUAUCUCCUUCCACCCAU
This 227-nucleotide long non-coding RNA is filed under the name Elaeis guineensis (African oil palm). RNAcentral describes it as "long non-coding RNA (EGUI_LNC065678)". Lineage: Eukaryota; Viridiplantae; Streptophyta; Magnoliopsida; Arecales; Arecaceae. The record is from RNAcentral.